RNAcentral lists this ribosomal RNA (823 nucleotides) under Pseudomonas constantinii. RNAcentral describes it as "bacterial SSU rRNA". It matches the Rfam family "Bacterial small subunit ribosomal RNA", at positions 56 to 875 of the family's 1533-position model. The record is from RNAcentral. Lineage: Bacteria; Pseudomonadati; Pseudomonadota; Gammaproteobacteria; Pseudomonadales; Pseudomonadaceae.
UGCAGUCGAGCGGUAGAGAGGAGCUUGCUUCUCUUGAGAGCGGCGGACGGGUGAGUAAUGCCUAGGAAUCUGCCUGGUAGUGGGGGAUAACGUUCGGAAACGGACGCUAAUACCGCAUACGUCCUACGGGAGAAAGCAGGGGACCUUCGGGCCUUGCGCUAUCAGAUGAGCCUAGGUCGGAUUAGCUAGUUGGUGAGGUAAUGGCUCACCAAGGCGACGAUCCGUAACUGGUCUGAGAGGAUGAUCAGUCACACUGGAACUGAGACACGGUCCAGACUCCUACGGGAGGCAGCAGUGGGGAAUAUUGGACAAUGGGCGAAAGCCUGAUCCAGCCAUGCCGCGUGUGUGAAGAAGGUCUUCGGAUUGUAAAGCACUUUAAGUUGGGAGGAAGGGCAGUUGCUUAAUACGUAACUGUUUUGACGUUACCGACAGAAUAAGCACCGGCUAACUCUGUGCCAGCAGCCGCGGUAAUACAGAGGGUGCAAGCGUUAAUCGGAAUUACUGGGCGUAAAGCGCGCGUAGGUGGUUUGUUAAGUUGGAUGUGAAAUCCCCGGGCUCAACCUGGGAACUGCAUUCAAAACUGACUGACUAGAGUAUGGUAGAGGGUGGUGGAAUUUCCUGUGUAGCGGUGAAAUGCGUAGAUAUAGGAAGGAACACCAGUGGCGAAGGCGACCACCUGGACUGAUACUGACACUGAGGUGCGAAAGCGUGGGGAGCAAACAGGAUUAGAUACCCUGGUAGUCCACGCCGUAAACGAUGUCAACUAGCCGUUGGAAGCCUUGAGCUUUUAGUGGCGCAGCUAACGCAUUAAGUUGACCGCCUG